RNAcentral lists this ribosomal RNA (467 nucleotides) under uncultured bacterium. RNAcentral's name for it is "partial 16S ribosomal RNA". It matches the Rfam family "Bacterial small subunit ribosomal RNA", at positions 29 to 507 of the family's 1533-position model. The record is from RNAcentral.
ACGAACGCUGGCGGCGUGCUUAACACAUGCAAGUCGAACGGAAAGGCCCUGCUUUUGUGGGGUGCUCGAGUGGCGAACGGGUGAGUAACACGUGAGUAACCUGCCCUUGACUUUGGGAUAACUUCAGGAAACUGGGGCUAAUACCGGAUAGGAGCUCCUGCUGCAUGGUGGGGGUUGGAAAGUUUCGGCGGUUGGGGAUGGACUCGCGGCUUAUCAGCUUGUUGGUGGGGUAGUGGCUUACCAAGGCUUUGACGGGUAGCCGACCUGAGAGGGUGACCGGCCACAUUGGGACUGAGAUACGGCCCAGACUCCUACGGGAGGCAGCAGUGGGGAAUAUUGCACAAUGGGCGGAAGCCUGAUGCAGCAACGCCGCGUGCGGGAUGACGGCCUUCGGGUUGUAAACCGCUUUCGCCUGUGACGAAGCGUGAGUGACGGUAAUGGGUAAAGAAGCACCGGCUAACUACGUG